CAGUAGCCGCGGGAAUACGAAGGGGGCUAGCGUUGUUCGGAUUUACUGGGCGUAAAGGGCGCGUAGGCGGGCGAAUAAGUCAGGGGUGAAAUCCCAAGGCUCAACCUUGGAACUGCCUUUGAUACUGUUUGUCUUGAGUUCGAGAGAGGUAAGUGGAACUGCGAGUGUAGAGGUGAAAUUCGUAGAUAUUCGCAAGAACACCAGUGGCGAAGGCGGCUUACUGGCUCGAAACUGACGCUGAGGCGCGAAAGCGUGGGGAGCAAACAGGAUUAGAUACCCGCGUAGUCCCUGUCUCUUAUAC
Molecule: ribosomal RNA, 301 nt
Filed under: uncultured bacterium
Lineage: Bacteria
Description: partial 16S ribosomal RNA
Rfam family: Bacterial small subunit ribosomal RNA
Source: RNAcentral